RNAcentral lists this ribosomal RNA (1697 nucleotides) under Marinobacterium alkalitolerans. RNAcentral's name for it is "partial 23S ribosomal RNA". It matches the Rfam family "Bacterial large subunit ribosomal RNA", at positions 1 to 1750 of the family's 2925-position model. The record is from RNAcentral. Lineage: Bacteria; Pseudomonadati; Pseudomonadota; Gammaproteobacteria; Oceanospirillales; Oceanospirillaceae.
GUUAUAUGGUCAAGUGAAUAAGCGUGCACGGUGGAUGCCUUGGCAGUCAGAGGCGAUGAAGGACGUUGUAACCUGCGAUAAGCCUCGGGGAGUCGGUAAACAGACUUUGAUCCGAGGAUUUCCGAAUGGGGAAACCCACCCGCUUGCGGGUAUCUCUUCACUGAAUACAUAGGUGUAGAGAGGCGAACCCGGGGAACUGAAACAUCUAAGUACCCGGAGGAAAAGAAAUCAACCGAGAUUCCCUUAGUAGCGGCGAGCGAACGGGGAGCAGCCCUUAAGCUGUGUUGUGGUUAGUGGAACACUCUGGAAAGUGUGGCCAUAGUGGGUGAUAGCCCCGUACACGAAAACCUAUACGCAGUGAAAUCGAGUAGGACGGGACACGUGUUAUCCUGUCUGAAUAUGGGGGGACCAUCCUCCAAGGCUAAAUACUCCUGACUGACCGAUAGUGAACCAGUACCGUGAGGGAAAGGCGAAAAGAACCCCUGUGAGGGGAGUGAAAUAGACCCUGAAACCGUGUACGUACAAGCAGUGGGAGCCGUUUUCGGACGGUGACUGCGUACCUUUUGUAUAAUGGGUCAGCGACUUACUUUCAGUGGCAAGCUUAACCGUAUAGGGGAGGCGUAGGGAAACCGAGUCUUAAUAGGGCGCCAAGUCGCUGGGAGUAGACCCGAAACCGGGCGAUCUAUCCAUGGGCAGGUUGAAGAUUGAGUAACAUCAAUUGGAGGACCGAACCGACUGUCGUUGAAAAGCCAGCGGAUGACCUGUGGAUCGGAGUGAAAGGCUAAUCAAGCCCGGAGAUAGCUGGUUCUCCUCGAAAGCUAUUUAGGUAGCGCCUCAUGUCUCACCUUGGGGGGUAGAGCACUGUUUCGGCUAGGGGGUCAUCCCGACUUACCAACCCGAUGCAAACUCCGAAUACCCAAGAGUGCAAUCAUGGGAGACACACGGCGGGUGCUAACGUCCGUCGUGGAAAGGGAAACAACCCAGACCGCCAGCUAAGGUCCCAAAGUUCUAGUUAAGUGGGAAACGAUGUGGGAAGGCUUAGACAGCUAGGAGGUUGGCUUAGAAGCAGCCAUCCUUUAAAGAAAGCGUAAUAGCUCACUAGUCGAGUCGGCCUGCGCGGAAGAUAUAACGGGGCUCAAACUAGACACCGAAGCUGCGGAUGCCUUAGGGCAUGGUAGAGGAGCGUUCUGUAAGCCGUUGAAGCGGAAGCCGAGAGGCACCGUGGAGGUAUCAGAAGUGCGAAUGCUGACAUGAGUAACGAUAAAGGGGGUGAAAAACCCCCUCGCCGGAAGACCAAGGGUUCCUAUCCAACGUUAAUCGGGGUAGGGUGAGUCGGCCCCUAAGGCGAGGCUGAAAAGCGUAGUCGAUGGGAAACAGGUUAAUAUUCCUGUACCGCGCAUAACUGCGACGGGGGGACGGAGAAGGCUAGGCCAGCGCGGCGUUGGUUGUCCGCGUUUAAGGGUGUAGAUUGAGGACUUAGGCAAAUCCGGGUCCUUAAGAUCGAGACCUGAUGACGAAGCUCUUUAUGAGCUGAAGUGGUUGAUGCCAGGCUUCCAGGAAAAUCCUCUAAGCUUCAGGUUAUGUGUGACCGUACCCGAAACCGACACAGGUGGUCAGGUUGAGAAUACCAAGGCGCUUGAGAGAACUCGGGUGAAGGAACUAGGCAAAAUGGUGCCGUAACUUCGGGAGAAGGCACG